Long non-coding RNA from Nomascus leucogenys (northern white-cheeked gibbon), 114 nucleotides. RefSeq lists it as uncharacterized. NCBI's taxonomy places the organism in Eukaryota, Metazoa, Chordata, Mammalia, Primates, Hylobatidae. The record is from RefSeq and is a predicted model, not a curated record. The transcript is spliced from 3 exons.
AGAGAGCAGUGAGAGGGGAGGGAGAGCAUCAGGAAGAAUAGCUAAUGAAUGCUGAGCUUAAUAACUAGGUGAUGGGAUGACUUGUGCCACAAACCACCAUGACACAUGUUUACG